CUCCUCCUAAAGAGGCCACAAAACCAACGACAAACGUACGGAUUCCUCAACCAUCUGGACUGAAAGAAAGACCACAGUAACAAUACUAUGCUGGUGAAACACAAGAUGCUGUAGUGGACUUGGAUCAAGAAACUGACCUCGAGAGAGAAGAGAAAGGAAACAAGGCAGAAGAGUUAAACAAUGACUUGGCUGAGAAACAAUAUAAUCAAGAGCAAGAAACCAUGCCACUUACUGUACAAGACGCAUUCUCACAGGAGACCAUAAAUUUGCUAGACUUGUCUCCAAGUCACCUAAUAACUUCCUGA
Stegostoma tigrinum is the source of this 305-nucleotide long non-coding RNA. RefSeq lists it as uncharacterized. The record is from RefSeq and is a predicted model, not a curated record. The transcript is spliced from 3 exons. Lineage: Eukaryota; Metazoa; Chordata; Chondrichthyes; Orectolobiformes; Stegostomatidae.